GGGGCCUUGAAGGCCUCAGCCUUCACUCUGAGCUGGAAACUUCCAGAAGGCUUUGGGUGCACAUGGACACAAUGACAUGAGGCGUCUUUCCAGGAACCCUGCAGAGGCCCAGUCAAGAACAGGUGGAAGAGCUGGGCAUGGUGGCGCACACCCUGUAAUCCUACCCCUCGGGAGCCUGAGGCAAAGGAUCACUGAAAGUUUGAGGCCAGCCUGGGCUUACAUACUCUUGGCUCAUGGUGUGAGAAAGGAAGACAGAAUCUACAUAGUGAAAGCAGGUGACUCCAGAGGCCUCCAGGGAGAAACACACCAGUGGAACUGAGCAGUGGAUGCUGUGCACUACAACAGCUGUGUCCCCUCCAAGGGUGCCUGGUGUAAGACCGAGGGCCUUACCAAACGCUCCGAGGAGCUGAAGUGGAGCACACCCGGGGAUCCCAGCGGUGCCUCCAGAAUGUAAG
RNAcentral lists this long non-coding RNA (455 nucleotides) under Heterocephalus glaber (naked mole-rat). RNAcentral's name for it is "lncRNA (ENSHGLG00000044160.1)". Lineage: Eukaryota; Metazoa; Chordata; Mammalia; Rodentia; Bathyergidae. The record is from RNAcentral.